CCUACGGGGGGCAGCAGUGGGGAAUAUUGCACAAUGGGGGAAACCCUGAUGCAGCAACGCCGCGUGAGCGAUGAAGGCCUUCGGGUCGUAAAGCUCUGUCCUAAGGGAAGAAUACUGACGGUACCUUAGGAGGAAGCCCCGGCUAACUACGUGCCAGCAGCCGCGGUAAUACGUAGGGGGCUAGCGUUAUCCGGAAUUACUGGGCGUAAAGGGUGCGUAAGCGGCCCUUCAAGUCAGAGGUGAAAGGCUACGGCUCAACCGUAGUAAGCCUUUGAAACUGUAGGGCUUGAGUGCAGGAGAGGAGAGUGGGAAUCCCAGGGUAGGGGGGGAAUGCGGAGGUAAUGGGAGGAACACCAGGUGGGAAGGGGGCUCUCUGGACUGUAACUGACGCUGAGGGACGGAAGGGUGGGGAGCGAACAGGAUUAGAUACCCGGGUAGUC
RNAcentral lists this ribosomal RNA (440 nucleotides) under uncultured bacterium. Its description in RNAcentral is "bacterial SSU rRNA". It matches the Rfam family "Bacterial small subunit ribosomal RNA", at positions 338 to 795 of the family's 1533-position model. The record is from RNAcentral.